RNAcentral lists this ribosomal RNA (429 nucleotides) under Acidobacteriota bacterium. RNAcentral describes it as "Acidobacteria bacterium partial 16S ribosomal RNA". It matches the Rfam family "Bacterial small subunit ribosomal RNA", at positions 355 to 776 of the family's 1533-position model. Lineage: Bacteria; Pseudomonadati; Acidobacteriota. The record is from RNAcentral.
UGGGGAAUUUUGGACAAUGGGGGAAACCCUGAUCCAGCCAUCCCGCGUGUGCGAUGAAGGCCUUCGGGUUGUAAAGCACUUUUGGCAGGAAAGAAACGUCAUGGGUUAAUACCCCGUGAAACUGACGGUACCUGCAGAAUAAGCACCGGCUAACUACGUGCCAGCAGCCGCGGUAAUACGUAGGGUGCAAGCGUUAAUCGGAAUUACUGGGCGUAAAGCGUGCGCAGGCGGUUCGGAAAGAGAGAUGUGAAAUUCCAGAGCUCAACUUUGGAACUGCAUUUUUAACUGCCGGGCUAGAGUGUGUCAGAGGGAGGUGGAAUUCCGCGUGUAGCAGUGAAAUGCGUAGAUAUGCGGAGGACCACCGAUGGCGAAGGCAGCCUCCUGGGAUAACACUGACGCUCAUGCACGAAAGCGUGGGGAGCAAACAGG